UUAGAUAGUCGACUUGGUCUCAAAGAAACUGUUGUCUUUGCUGUUGUUAUCUUUGUUUCACUGCAGUCCCAGAAGGUGGCGAUAAUGCGCCAACUUUAUUGUUGUUGGGUGCGCCCUGAACCGUAGAAGAAGACUUUCAAUCGUAAACAACUAGCUAACGUUAGCUGGCUGCUAGUGUGCGUUUCUUUUCGCAAAAAAAAUGGCCAAAUUGGAGUUGCUAAGUUUGUUUCUCACUGAACGAUUAACGUCUGCUGCACAGGAUAUAUAUAAAAUGUUAGAAGAAACGUUUGCAGAAUACCAAGCAGAGAUCACUUACGUAAAGAGAGAGAAUGAAUUUCUACGGAAGCAGUUUAAUGCUAACAGACCGAGAAAAGUGAACGUUAAACGAGGUCUACGACAGAUCACCCGCACUGUCUCUGUAGCAGUAGCUCCCCCAAAGCUGAAGCAGGAGUCGAGCCCCAGUCUGGGGAAGGAGGUUUCACAAACUGAGGAGAAGAAGCAAGAAGCAAGGACCAGUCAGGGCGAAGAGCAGCUUCAAGAGACUGGAACAACAGAAUUGAUGCCUACACCCACCACUCACUGUUGCAGCAAAGACAAUGAUCUUGGCCCAUCCAAAACAUUGCCCCAGAUCCAGCCCAAGCCCUUACCUUCCUUACCCAUACCCCUUCUCCUGGCUCAGCCCGCACAGCCCUUCCAAAUCGCACAGAACCAAGCCGUCGUCUUAUCUCAUCAGAUAUCGCCUCUGGUCAUUCAGGUUGUAAAGAAAUUGUUUAUUUGUAAAGACUGUGGGAAGACUUUCCGUUACAUGAGUCGUUUGAAACAGCACACACGCAUGGCUCACACGCAGGAAAAACCCCACUGCUGUACGUUGUGUGGAAAGUGUUUUCUUACUGCCAGCAAGUUAAAAACACACCAGCUAAUACACACCGGCGAGAGACCCUACCUCUGUAAUGUCUGUGGUCACUGUUUCAACCAGAGGUCGAACCUCAAAGUACACAUGCAGAGGAAACACAAAGAUGUCAAGGGUGUGUGACAAACAACAAAAUAUAGCAUUCAGUAUACGGAUUUACAUUCAUAUUUACAUUUUAGUAAUUUAGAAGACGCUCUUAGCCAGAGCGACUUACCGUUAAUGCAUUCAUCUUAAGAUAGCUAGGUGGGAUGGUGAAAAGGUUAUGUGGGAAAAAGACAGCAAAAAUAAAUAAAGUUGUAGGACACAUCUCCCCAACCCCUACAUUCAGGUGUAUGUCAGUGGAGGCUGAGGGGAGAACGGCUCAUAAGUCUCCCCAACCCCUACAUUCAGGUGUAUGUCAGUGGAGGCUGAGGGGAGAACGGCUCAUAAGUCUCCCCAACCCCUACAUUCAGGUGUAUGUCAGUGGAGGCUGAGGGGAGAACGGCUCAUAUAAGUCUCCCCAACCCCUACAUUCAAGUGUAUGUCAGUGGAGGCUGAGGGGAGAACGGCUCAUAUAAGUCUGGACCGGAGUGAAUGGAGUGGCAUUGAUAGCAAUCCCCACAUUUCCCUCCAUUACCACGAGCCCGUCCUCACCAAUUAAGGUGCCACCACCCUCCUGUGGUGAAUAUAAUUUCUCCUCCCUUUCUUCCCUGUAUUGUUGUCUCAAAUCAUAAACUACAUUAAAGAUGUAAAACAGA
This is a long non-coding RNA of Oncorhynchus kisutch (coho salmon), 1647 nucleotides long. RefSeq lists it as uncharacterized. The transcript has 2 exons. The record is from RefSeq and is a predicted model, not a curated record. NCBI's taxonomy places the organism in Eukaryota, Metazoa, Chordata, Actinopteri, Salmoniformes, Salmonidae.